RNAcentral lists this ribosomal RNA (500 nucleotides) under uncultured bacterium. Its description in RNAcentral is "partial 16S ribosomal RNA". It matches the Rfam family "Bacterial small subunit ribosomal RNA", at positions 30 to 523 of the family's 1533-position model. The record is from RNAcentral.
AUUGAACGCUGGCGGCUUGCUUUACACAUGCAAAUCGAACGGUAACAGGGUGCUUGCACCGCUGACGAGUGGCGAACGGGUGAGUAAUGCGUCGGAACGUGCCGAGUAGUGGGGGAUAACGCAGCGAAAGUCGUGCUAAUACCGCAUACGUACUGAGGUAGAAAGUGGGGGACCUUCGGGCCUCACGCUAUUCGAGCGGCCGACGUCUGAUUAGCUAGUAGGUGAGGUAAAGGCUCACCUAGGCGACGAUCAGUAGCGGGUCUGAGAGGAUGAUCCGCCACACUGGGACUGAGACACGGCCCAGCCUCCUACGGGAGGCAGCAGUGGGGAAUUUUGGACAAUGGGCGAAAGCCUGAUCCAGCCAUGCCGCGUGUCUGAAGAAGGCCUUCGGGUUGUAAAGGACUUUUGUCAGGGAGGAAAUCCCUAGUGCUAAUAACACUGGGGGAUGACAGUACCUGAAGAAUAAGCACCGGCUAACUACGUGCCAGCCGCCGCCGUAA